RNAcentral lists this ribosomal RNA (465 nucleotides) under Vreelandella stevensii. RNAcentral's name for it is "partial 16S ribosomal RNA". It matches the Rfam family "Bacterial small subunit ribosomal RNA", at positions 338 to 795 of the family's 1533-position model. The record is from RNAcentral. Lineage: Bacteria; Pseudomonadati; Pseudomonadota; Gammaproteobacteria; Oceanospirillales; Halomonadaceae.
CCUACGAGAGGCAGCAGUGGGGAAUAUUGGACAAUGGGCGAAAGCCUGAUCCAGCCAUGCCGCGUGUGUGAAGAAGGCCUUCGGGUUGUAAAGCACUUUCAGUGGGGAAGAAAGCCUUGGGGCUAAUACCCUCGAGGAAGGACAUCACCCACAGAAGAAGCACCGGCUAACUCCGUGCCAGCAGCCGCGGUAAUACGGAGGGUGCGAGCGUUAAUCGGAAUUACUGGGCGUAAAGCGCGCGUAGGCGGUCUGAUAAGCCGGUUGUGAAAGCCCCGGGCUCAACCUGGGAACGGCAUCCGGAACUGUCAGGCUAGAGUGCAGGAGAGGAAGGUAGAAUUCCCGGUGUAGCGGUGAAAUGCGUAGAGAUCGGGAGGAAUACCAGUGGCGAAGGCGGCCUUCUGGACUGACACUGACGCUGAGGUGCGAAAGCGUGGGUAGCAAACAGGAUUAGAUACCCCGGUAGUC